GUUUGUUUUAUUUAUUUAUUUGCAUAAGCCAAUUCCUAAAGUGAUUUCUACCAUUUGAUGCGCGGUUCCCAAAAACAAAGUUGAUAAGUAUAUAUGUUAUUGGGUAGAAGAAAUCUAUUCAUUUUCUUACUCAAACAGUCUACCUUCUUCCCCAAAAAGAAGAACCACCAUUUUCUUCUUUCAAGUUAACCUCGUAGAGAAAUUUCAAGUGAUAGCUCCAAUAUCUUGAAAGAAAAGGUUCCAGCUAGGAACGAGCGUGACACUAGGGUACAAGUGAGUAAAGGAGAUACAUCAGGUUAAGUUUGGAUGAAGAUGGAAGUGUGCUGAGCUGGAGCUUUUUGUUUAUGUAAAUAGUAAUAGGCUCAGGAUAUUGUGUCUUCAUACAUAAUGUCCAAUGAUGUACUCCGCUGCAACACUUUGUCUCUCUUAUCACUUUUGCCGUGUUGUAGAGUGUUUUAAAAACCUUAACCUGUAUAUGAGCCUGACAAAUCUUGGUUAUGAUGUUUAUUUGGUUUAAACUUCUUUUGUUAAAGUUUGAUGAUGCCGAACCUUGUGAAAUUCAUUGAUCAUGUAUGUAAGUUGUUAAUUAUUUA
Long non-coding RNA from Salvia miltiorrhiza (redroot sage), 593 nucleotides. RefSeq lists it as uncharacterized. NCBI's taxonomy places the organism in Eukaryota, Viridiplantae, Streptophyta, Magnoliopsida, Lamiales, Lamiaceae. The transcript is spliced from 3 exons. The record is from RefSeq and is a predicted model, not a curated record.